Molecule: ribosomal RNA, 253 nt
Filed under: uncultured bacterium
Lineage: Bacteria
Description: partial 16S ribosomal RNA
Rfam family: Bacterial small subunit ribosomal RNA
Source: RNAcentral
UACGUAGGCAGCAAGCGUUGUUCGGAAUUACUGGGCGUAAAGAGUGCGUAGGCGGUUGGCUAAGUUUGGUGUGAAAUCUCCCGGCUCAACUGGGAGGGUGCGCCGAAAACUGGCCGGCUAGAGUGUGGGAGAGGGAAGUGGAAUUCCUGGUGUAGCGGUGAAAUGCGUAGAUAUCAGGAGGAACACCUGCGGUGUAGACGGCUUCCUGGACCAUUACUGACGCUGAGGCACGAAAGCGUGGGGAGCAAACAGG